GAUGAACGCUGGCGGCGUGCCUAAUACAUGCAAGUCGAGCGAACAGACGAGGAGCUUGCUCCUCUGACGUUAGCGGCGGACGGGUGAGUAACACGUGGAUAACCUACCUAUAAGACUGGGAUAACUUCGGGAAACCGGAGCUAAUACCGGAUAAUAUAUUGAACCGCAUGGUUCAAUAGUGAAAGACGGUUUUGCUGUCACUUAUAGAUGGAUCCGCGCCGCAUUAGCUAGUUGGUAAGGUAACGGCUUACCAAGGCAACGAUGCGUGGCCGACCUGAGAGGGUGAUCGGCCACACUGGAACUGAGACACGGUCCAGACUCCUACGGGAGGCAGCAGUAGGGAAUCUUCCGCAAUGGGCGAAAGCCUGACGGAGCAACGCCGCGUGAGUGAUGAAGGUCUUCGGAUCGUAAAACCCUGUUAUUAGGGAAGAACAAAUGUGUAAGUAACUAUGCACGUCUUGACGGUACCUAAUCAGAAAGCCACGGCUAACUACGUG
This 497-nucleotide ribosomal RNA is filed under the name uncultured bacterium. Its description in RNAcentral is "partial 16S ribosomal RNA". It matches the Rfam family "Bacterial small subunit ribosomal RNA", at positions 28 to 507 of the family's 1533-position model. The record is from RNAcentral.